UCCUAGGUAGCUCAGUGGUAGAGCAGUUGGCUGUUAACCAAUUGGUCGUGGGUUCGAGUCCCUCCCUCGGAGCCA
This is a transfer RNA of 75 nucleotides. It matches the Rfam family "tRNA". Rfam says of the family: Transfer RNA (tRNA) molecules are approximately 80 nucleotides in length. Their secondary structure includes four short double-helical elements and three loops (D, anti-codon, and T loops). Further hydrogen bonds mediate the characteristic L-shaped molecular structure. tRNAs have two regions of fundamental functional importance: the anti-codon, which is responsible for specific mRNA codon recognition, and the 3' end, to which the tRNAs corresponding amino acid is attached (by aminoacyl-tRNA synthetases). tRNAs cope with the degeneracy of the genetic code in two manners: having more than one tRNA (with a specific anti-codon) for a particular amino acid; and 'wobble' base-pairing, i.e. permitting non-standard base-pairing at the 3rd anti-codon position.